CCCUUAGAUGUUCUGGGCCGCACGCGUGCUACACUGAGUGGAUCAGCGGGUCAGGUUGCGCGAAAGUGUUUCCUAAUCUUUAAAUCCGCUCGUGAUGGGGAUUGACGGUUGCAAUUUUCUGUCUUGAACGAGGAAUACCUUGUAAGCGCGGGUCAUCAUCCCGCGCUGAAUACGUCCCUGCCCUUUGUACACACCGCCCGUCGCUCCUACCGAUUGAGUGGUCCGGUGAGGCUUUGGGAUCUGAGCGGAAAGAGCGUUUCGCUGUUUCUGCUCGGAAAACUCAGUCGAACCUUAUCAUUUAGAGGAAGGAGAAGUCGUAACA
RNAcentral lists this ribosomal RNA (322 nucleotides) under uncultured eukaryote. RNAcentral's name for it is "partial 18S ribosomal RNA". It matches the Rfam family "Eukaryotic small subunit ribosomal RNA", at positions 1470 to 1796 of the family's 1831-position model. The record is from RNAcentral.